UUACAAGACAGAAGAAGACAGGGAGAGAAAAAAAUUCAACAUCUACUUCCAACAGCGAAGUAACUUCUUUGCGAUCUGCGCGAUGUGUGCUCGGUGCCGGUUCUCUGCGCCCUUGGAGUGUGUCCGUGCCACACCCACGACUCUAUCGAAGCUUUUGCUGUCCAUCUUCAAACUUUACACCUUACUUCUUUCCCGGCUGGCGGAUGGUGGAUGAUCUUUUCUUGAUUUUGUUUCCCGAGCAACGAAUUUGACUUUCUCAACAUCAACUUCAUUCGGCCACGGCAUUGAGCGGCCGAGCAGAAGAUGAUCUUACGAAUCUUUUGGAAAUAGCCCACCAAAAAAUUACCAAAUCUUUCUGUUGAUUCUGUUCCUCUGAUGAUGAUGAGAGAAGAAGAACUUCCUAAGAGGAGUGCGGAAUGCCCUGAUUACGUGUUGGCUGGUCAUGGCCACCGGUUUUACGUUCUCCAGAAUCGAAGAUUCGCUCCGGAACCCGCAGAACAUACGGAGUUCCGGUUACGUUUUUUUUUCUUUAGCGCUGCCUUUAAUUCCCUCAAUUUUGUAGGCUUUUUUGUAAUUACUGGAGAAACUCUAAAACAAUAUAAAGAAUGAAGUUCCAAUGUA
Long non-coding RNA from Anopheles arabiensis, 621 nucleotides. RefSeq lists it as uncharacterized. The transcript is spliced from 2 exons. NCBI's taxonomy places the organism in Eukaryota, Metazoa, Arthropoda, Insecta, Diptera, Culicidae. The record is from RefSeq and is a predicted model, not a curated record.